UGCAGUCGAGCGGACCGACGGGAGCUUGCUCCCUUAGGUCAGCGGCGGACGGGUGAGUAACACGUGGGUAACCUGCCUGUAAGACUGGGAUAACUCCGGGAAACCGGGGCUAAUACCGGAUGCUUGAUUGAACCGCAUGGUUCAAUCAUAAAAGGUGGCUUUUAGCUACCACUUGCAGAUGGACCCGCGGCGCAUUAGCUAGUUGGUGAGGUAACGGCUCACCAAGGCGACGAUGCGUAGCCGACCUGAGAGGGUGAUCGGCCACACUGGGACUGAGACACGGCCCAGACUCCUACGGGAGGCAGCAGUAGGGAAUCUUCCGCAAUGGACGAAAGUCUGACGGAGCAACGCCGCGUGAGUGAUGAAGGUUUUCGGAUCGUAAAACUCUGUUGUUAGGGAAGAACAAGUACCGUUCGAAUAGGGCGGCACCUUGACGGUACCUAACCAGAAAGCCACGGCUAACUACGUGCCAGCAGCCGCGGUAAUACGUAGGUGGCAAGCGUUGUCCGGAAUUAUUGGGCGUAAAGCGCGCGCAGGCGGUUUCUUAAGUCUGAUGUGAAAGCCCCCGGCUCACCGGGGAGGGUCUUGGA
Molecule: ribosomal RNA, 590 nt
Filed under: bacterium
Lineage: Bacteria
Description: bacterial SSU rRNA
Rfam family: Bacterial small subunit ribosomal RNA
Source: RNAcentral